This is an RNA transcript of Ictalurus punctatus (channel catfish), 2784 nucleotides long. It is a transcript of the gene named E3 ubiquitin-protein ligase UBR2-like, with no coding region annotated. The transcript is spliced from 6 exons. NCBI's taxonomy places the organism in Eukaryota, Metazoa, Chordata, Actinopteri, Siluriformes, Ictaluridae. The record is from RefSeq and is a predicted model, not a curated record.
AAGAUGAACCCAUUUAUUCAACAUUGAUUAUUUUAACAAAUUCAGAGGGACCUUAACAUAAAAUUAAGGUUAUAGUGAACUUGUAACCAUCCGUCUCUACUUGGUACAGCCCCAGUUCAUGUGACGGUGCUCUGGUGAGUGUGGGACCUCGUUGUUGGCGUGCCAGAGGAGGAGAGAGGAGGCAAAUGGAGAUGUGUAUCCUGUGUCACAAAGCGCAGGAGAUCCUACCUGAUGGCACCGCCAUGGUGCUCGCUGCCUUUGUCCAACGCUCUACGGUCAUGUCCGAGAACCGCAAAAGACCCCCUCACAAUCCAGGUAAGGUUAUGGUUUACAGUGUGCAAGUCAAGUAAUUGGAUAGGUUUGAGUAGCCAGUGUGCUUAUUUCUGGAGGAUACAUGUGUGUUCCAGAGAGCUAUGAUCCCCUCUUCAUGCACCCUGACCUGUCCUUUGGUACCCAUACCGGCAGCUGUGGCCACAUCAUGCACUCUCACUGCUGGCAGAGAUACUUUGAGACACUCCAGAGUCAGGAUGCGCAGUGGCUGCAUGAGCAAACCAGUUGCGAUGUAGUGAAUGGGGAGUACUUGUGUCCACUCUAUGCUGGUGAGACAGAGACUGUGGAGGACUCUCCUCCUCCUGAGAGUUUCAGGCUGGACCACACACCAGUCACCCCUUAUUCAAGCUCCAUAAGGGAGAUGCUGAUGACAUUUGGGACCGCAACUUAUAAAGUUGGCCUUAAGGUGCACCCUAAUGAGCAGAACCCCCGUGUGCCCAUCAUGUGCUGGGGCAGCUGUUCUUGCACCAUCCAGUCUAUAGAGAGAUUAUUGGUAGAUGAGGAGAAGCCUUGUUUGGAAGUUUACCCUGUAGACAGGUAUGACAACCCAACUUAUUGUCAUAUCUCAGCCCAGCCAGGACUCGGUUUCCCGAGAAGCAACACCCACUUCUAACAUGGCCGCUGAGGACUACACUUCCCACACACGCAUGCGCUCACCUCCCCGGAGUUCUGAUCUCACACACCUGCAGCCAAUCACCUUGUCCACUCUCCACGGCUUAUUAAGAGACUUUGGUUCAGAGACACUUUGUGAAGUAAAUGUUCAGCAGACUAGUUUCUCUGUCGUUCUCCAAGCGUUACCUACCGUGUUUAUUCGAUAAGUGACUUUGGCCUCUGUCUUGCCCCGUUUGUUUUGUUUGCAUGAUCGCCUGACCCUCGCUUGCUUCUUGACUACGGACUGUGUUCACCCCUCUGGAUUAUUCUGCCUGAACCUGCCGCCCGCUUCUGCUUCUGUAUUCCUCACAGUACGCGACACUUAUCAUGCCAGAAUGAAUUCUUCUUUCGAGGGAUGUGUGAUGAUGUAAUAAAUUCUGUAUCAGUGGUAUUGUUAGUACUGUUAAAAUACUCCACUAAGCACUGCUUGCUUGCAGGAUGUAGUAGUUAAUUGUACACUGGAAUAAAUUCUUCCGAUGAUUUGAUUUGCUUUUCACUUGUAAUUCUAAAUAUAAAAGCAUAUAUAACUGUGUAUAUAUAAAUGAAAAUAGACUGCAUCUGUCAAAUCAUUACUCAAGCUUCUGAGCAUCAUUCGCACUCUAAAGAUAUCUAGAAGAUUGCUCAAUUAUGUUCGGGGUUCAUUUUGGUAGCAUUACUAAAUAUUCUGAAUCACAAAUAUCUGCAGGUAUUAUGCUCUCCUUCCUCAGUUCUAAUUCCUUCUAUAUCCUGUGAUAUUUAUAUAUAUUUUGUAUCCUGAAUAAUAAAAAAUAGAAGUGUCAUAAAACGUGCCCUUGUUUAGGAGACUAUUUGAGUUCCCUGGCUCAGUUUGGCUCUGCAUGCUUGACUGUCUCCUCUCACUCCUCUGUGCAAAAUCACUUCAUGUGACUGUUGGCAGAUAUAUUUAUUUCAUUAUUUAUUUUUCUCUCACUUGUAGUUUUUUAGUUCUUUAACUGUGCUCUGUGCAGCACUUGUUCUUGAUCCCCAGGUGGAAAGUUCCCCCUGCAUUCUGGAUGUGGACAUGUUCCACUUAGUGGGGAGUCUGGUGCUGUCCUAUUCAGCAUUGCACUGCUUAGACUCCUCAGGGCUUAGUGCGGAUACUGCACACCUGCAUCUCUUCCACUUGGUCAUUGUUGCUCACCUGGUCCAGAUCCUCCUCACCUCUGUGCCAGGUUAGAGCAUAUUCUACUUGGAGCACGUACAACUUAACAGUAGAUGGUGAUCUGUGUUAUGUUGUCAUUUGUGUGUGUUUAUUAACCCUCGUUCUUACAAAUGAGUAAUAACGUGUUUGUCAGUAUGAAUGUUCUUUUGGGAUGUUUUUAUUGAGUGUGCUGUCAGGCACAGUUGUGUGGGAGUCAAUAAUGGGGCUGUCAGAGUAAUUCACUGCAGCCAAGAGCGUUAGAUUUAUGUAGGGAUUUAUUUUGGGGUUUUUUUGGGUUUGAACACAAUUUUUAAAAAGUGCUUAAAUGUAAUCCUAACAGGCUAACAGGUUUCUAUACAGGCUGCAGUACACAUGUUUUUUAUUUACUAUUUGUUUUUUUUAUACUGUUUCAGUAUUUAGUAGACUGUUUUGUGAAUAGCAAUGGUUUUGUGUCUGAGUUGUCAAGUUUUGAGUUUUGCCAAAACUUACUGCUUAUUAGAGAUGCCGAGCAAAGGUGCUUCAAAGUAUUGAGCAAAGGCUGUGAAUACUUAUAAACGUGCUUUUUUUUGUUUUUUUAUUUUUCAUAAAUUUCAUACUCAUUGAAAGAUUUCAAACAAACUUCUUUCAUGUUGUCAUUAUGGUGUAUUGUUUGUAGAAUUUUGAGG